GCCCAGUCAGACAGGGCUCUGACUCCUUAUCUCUGCUCUAUGACCUCCUAAACACUCAUUAUAGCUCAGUUCUCAUCUUACUGAUAAGAAUGUUGCUUAAAUAGGUGUUUAUGACCCCUUAGUAGUUUAGAGAUAAGGUCUAU
Bufo bufo (common toad) is the source of this 143-nucleotide long non-coding RNA. RefSeq lists it as uncharacterized. The record is from RefSeq and is a predicted model, not a curated record. Lineage: Eukaryota; Metazoa; Chordata; Amphibia; Anura; Bufonidae. The transcript is spliced from 3 exons.